ACUUUUAGAGGAUGACAGACACCCGUUGGUCUUAGGAACCAAAAGACUUGGUGCAACUCCAAGUAAAAGUA
Molecule: non-coding RNA, 71 nt
Organism: Manis javanica (Malayan pangolin)
Lineage: Eukaryota; Metazoa; Chordata; Mammalia; Pholidota; Manidae
Source: the annotation of a RefSeq genome assembly